RNAcentral lists this ribosomal RNA (496 nucleotides) under uncultured bacterium. RNAcentral's name for it is "partial 16S ribosomal RNA". It matches the Rfam family "Bacterial small subunit ribosomal RNA", at positions 28 to 506 of the family's 1533-position model. The record is from RNAcentral.
GAUGAACGCUGGCGGCGUGCCUAAUACAUGCAAGUCGAGCGAACAGACGAGGAGCUUGCUCCUCUGACGUUAGCGGCGGGCGGGUGAGUAACACGUGGAUAACCUACCUAUAAGACUGGGAUAACUUCGGGAAACCGGAGCUAAUACCGGAUAAUAUAUUGAACCGCAUGGUUCAAUAGUGAAAGACGGUUUUGCUGUCACUUAUAGAUGGAUCCGCGCCGCAUUAGCUAGUUGGUAAGGUAACGGCUUACCAAGGCAACGAUGCGUAGCCGACCUGAGAGGGUGAUCGGCCACACUGGAACUGAGACACGGUCCAGACUCCUACGGGAGGCAGCAGUAGGGAAUCUUCCGCAAUGGGCGAAAGCUUGACGGAGCAACGCCGCGUGAGUGAUGAAGGUCUUCGGAUCGUAAAACUCUGUUAUUAGGGAAGAACAAAUGUGUAAGUAACUAUGCACGUCUUGACGGUACCUAAUCAGAAAGCCACGGCUAACUACGU